CCGACUUUGCGUAUUACCUCUAAGUUCUUUCGGUCGGUUUUAUGAUCCCUGACUUUGCGUAUUAGCUCUUAGUUCUUUCGGUCCGUUUUGAUGAUCCCCGACUUUGCCUAUUACCUCUAAGUUCUUUCGGUCGGUUUUAUGAUCCCUGACUUUGCGUAUUAGCUCUAAGUUCUUUCGUCCCUUUUUAAGAUCCCCGACUUUGCAUAUUAGCUCUAAGUUC
This 220-nucleotide long non-coding RNA is filed under the name Capsella rubella. RNAcentral describes it as "long non-coding RNA (CRUB_LNC000256)". Lineage: Eukaryota; Viridiplantae; Streptophyta; Magnoliopsida; Brassicales; Brassicaceae. The record is from RNAcentral.